UACGGAGGGUGCAAGCGUUAUCCGGAUUUACUGGGUUUAAAGGGUGUGUAGGCGGGCCAUUAAGUCAGGGGUGAAAUCCCGGAGCUCAACUCCGGAACUGCCUUUGAUACUAUUGGUCUUGAAUAUUGUUGAGGUGGGCGGAACGGGUCAUGUAGCGGUGAAAUGCAUAGAUAUGACCCGGAACACCGAUUGCGAAGGCAGCCCGCUAAGCAAUGAUUGACGCUGAGGCACGAAAGCGUGGGGAUCAAACGGG
Molecule: ribosomal RNA, 253 nt
Filed under: uncultured prokaryote
Description: partial 16S ribosomal RNA
Rfam family: Bacterial small subunit ribosomal RNA
Source: RNAcentral